Small nucleolar RNA from Suncus etruscus (white-toothed pygmy shrew), 137 nucleotides. RefSeq annotates it as small nucleolar RNA SNORA70. Lineage: Eukaryota; Metazoa; Chordata; Mammalia; Eulipotyphla; Soricidae. The transcript has a single exon. The record is from RefSeq and is a predicted model, not a curated record.
GUGCAGCCAAUUAAGCCAACUGUGCUCUCUGCCCUGUGGGAUCGGGUGUACAAUGGUUGCAGACGGCAAGCAGCCUCCUGGUAGUGUAUGCAGCCUGUGACCUAUAUGGGCUGUCGUGAGAGACCUUGGAGACAGUC